Non-coding RNA from Cinara cedri, 465 nucleotides. The record is from the annotation of a GenBank genome assembly. NCBI's taxonomy places the organism in Eukaryota, Metazoa, Arthropoda, Insecta, Hemiptera, Aphididae.
CGACAGUGUUAUAUAUAUAAAUAGCGGACAACUUUGGUUUUCAUAUACUGGUUUAAAACUCAAUAUCAUUCAGAUAGGUGACUUUGCAAGAGCAUAAAAGUGUAAUUUCGAGGUAAAAUCACUUCUAUAUCAAUAAUAACUAAUUUGCCUUCUAUACACCCCGUACAGAAGAAAUUAUAAAAGUCUACGUGGAUAAAGUCACGGUUAACAGCUGGUAGUAUCUACUAGUAGGUAUAAUAAUUUAUUUUAUUUUUAAAAUCAAUUAAAAUAAAAUCUAAUAGCAGAUAAAAGAAAAAUCCUUACUAAUAAUAUUUUUGAACAUUACAGUAGGUAUGAUAUAUAUUAAUAAUUAUUGUAGUAAGUACAGCUGUUAAAACUAAUAACAAUAAAUCUGUAGAAAUCGACAAGUAUAAUCGUAUUUAACAGUUUAUAAAACUGUUUACAACUUCUGUUAAUACUGGAAUA